Small nuclear RNA from Hyla sarda, 191 nucleotides. RefSeq annotates it as U2 spliceosomal RNA. The transcript has a single exon. The record is from RefSeq and is a predicted model, not a curated record. NCBI's taxonomy places the organism in Eukaryota, Metazoa, Chordata, Amphibia, Anura, Hylidae.
AUCUCCACCUAAAGAUACUCCGGAGCGAAAUUCUGCUGUUCUUAUAAGUUUAAUAUCUGAUACGUCCCCUAUCUGGGGACCAUAUAUUAAAUGGUUUUUUUUUUGAGAACUGGGGCCGAUUUCGAAGCUUGCUUCAGUCGCUCUAUGCAUUGACCCGAUAUGGCAGUAUCUUCGGGUACCGUGGUCCAAAA